AUUAGCAUAUUUCAUAACUAUAGCUAACACUAGCUAGCUAAGUUAAACUGCUGGCCAAAAGUAUUGGCACCCCUGCAAUUCUGUCAAAUAAGGAGAUGGACUUGUAGCCUUGAGAUUGCCCAUGCUUUUUCACAAUUUGUUUCUCAAGUCCUCAGACAGUUCUUUGGUCUUCUUUUUUUUUUCUCCAUGCUCAAUGUGGUACACAAAAGGACACACGACAGAGGUUGAGUCAACUUUAAUCCAUUUUAACUGGCUGCAAGUGUGAUUUAGUUAUUGCCACCACCUGUUAUGUGCCACAGGUAAGUAACAAGUGCUGUUAAUUACACAAAUUAGAGAAGCAUCACAUGAUUUUUCAAAGUGUGCCAAUUAUUUUGUCCGGCCCAUUUUUGGAGUUUUGUGUAAAAAGAUGAUAUUGAUGUUUUUUUCUCCAUUCUCAUUUGUGUUUUUUUCCUUGCAAGCAAAAUAAAUGAAGAUAUAACUACCAAAGCAUUUGUAAUUGCAAUCAUUUUCUGGGAGAAAUUGAGUAUUAUCUGACAGAAUUGCAGGGGUGCCAAUACUUUUGGCCAGCAGUGUAGCUCCAUAGCAUUACUGUAUAUGUAGUGUUUGUGUUUUUCUUUAUAUACAUAGCUACGUAUUGAUUCAUUGAAAUAAUUACGCUUAUGUUUCCUUACCCAAGGUGGCAUGGCUGCUAGAUACCCAGCUGAAAUGGUCCUAGAGAUGCUGGAUGAUGGAGAGGCAGUAACAGAAUUGGACCCGAGAGUCAGAAAUUUCUAAUGAUGUAUUGUCCAGGUUGAAGUGGCAGUCAUCCACCUGGAAAUCAAACUGAAAAGGAUAGAUUUGUCACACAGGAUUCCACUUAUGUGUCCUCAGAAGAAGGAAGUGUCCUAAUCUUGUCCUCUGAAAAGGAAAGUGUCCAAAUCUUGGCCAACCGAAUGACUUAGUUACUUCCCACCCAGAGCAGAGAGCCACAAUAUCCUCAGAUGUCGGUCAGGGCCUGCACAAGAACUUAGCACCACUGUCAAAAGUGUUAAAAAGUAAAAACUAAACAUCUCAAUCAUGAAAUUAUUCUCGUGUGGUCCUUAAUAUAGUCCUAAAUAUUAUACAAGUGAUUAUUCUUUACCGAAAUGACAUAAAAACACAUUUAUUCUAGUAUUGGUCAUUUUUGACCCACUUAUGGAAGAGUGUAGGGUCCAGUCACUUGUGCAUCCGAAUGAGUUAAGCUCAUUAACUGCUGUUGAUUGUGAUAGACUGAUGGUGUUUAAAUUAAGUGGAUGCCUAUUGCUGUCAAUGGCACUGAAGCAUGGUCAUUCAAUGCCAGCCUGACCCGUAAAAUUUUUUUGGACCUCUAUCGCUGUCAGUGGCAGUGAAUGAGUUAGUCUUGUAUAAUGAUCGUACUUGCACCAUUCUGCUUUAUAGGAUAGAAACUAGCGAUUUAAUGGAAGUCUUGGGUCAAUGAAAGAACAUACUAUAGAAAUGAGGGCCACCAUUUUCCUCGAAUCCUUUGCGUGUGAUGUUUCACUGCCAAGCUGUAAGUAUUGACCAGCCUUGAUCCUGUGACAACACUUCUUAGCUGGUCCCGACCUACGAAUCGAUAUCAGUCCUAGUGCAGUGAUAGCAGGGCGCUCAAAGAGGAAUGUCAUAUCCACUUUGAAAAUUCUGUUCAUGUCAACAGAGGAAAAAUGCAGGAUGUGUGUGUGGUUGAAAUCCCCUUGGAGCAGGAACAAAACUUUUGGAAGGCAAAGGAACGACCAUGAAAUUGGUCUGUGGAUUCGGAUAAAGGUGCAACGAUUUCCAUCAAAGAAGUCCAUCAUGGCGGAUGUAGAAUCAAGCCAGUGCCUCAAUGCUCCGUACCACAAACCAUGGGUGCUCGUAAUACCGGAGGGAAGGAGACGUCCAAACUGAAGGCAACCUUAGGUUAUGGCCGUUCAUGUCUGACGCUGUCAUAUGGAAGGUAUGUGCUCCAAAAAUACGAAACAUAAAAUCUGCCGCAUGAAAUGACUUG
Long non-coding RNA from Corythoichthys intestinalis (scribbled pipefish), 2002 nucleotides. RefSeq lists it as uncharacterized. NCBI's taxonomy places the organism in Eukaryota, Metazoa, Chordata, Actinopteri, Syngnathiformes, Syngnathidae. The transcript is spliced from 3 exons. The record is from RefSeq and is a predicted model, not a curated record.